RNAcentral lists this long non-coding RNA (1140 nucleotides) under Hordeum vulgare. Its description in RNAcentral is "long non-coding RNA (HVUL_LNC013475)". Lineage: Eukaryota; Viridiplantae; Streptophyta; Magnoliopsida; Poales; Poaceae. The record is from RNAcentral.
UUCACUGAGCAAGUAUAGCAACAAAGCGAAAAGGAAAAGUACAUUCUGGACAGGGUAUAAUCUGAAAAUUUGGAGCCAGAAAAUAGAUUUAGCAAGCGAGAUAAAAGAACAGCCUUCCAUCAUGUGUAAUUCAAGCUUCCACUACCACUGGAAGCAUAAAGCAAUUAUCUAGUGUGAACAGUUCUUUAGGAUAGACAAUGGGCUGCCAUUGAUUGAAGCAUGUAUGCACUUUCUGUCAUGGAGAAAAGUGGUUACAGGCUUACAGCUCAAGUGCUUAGCGUUUUGGCAGUGUGAAAUAUUACAUGAAUGCUCAUGUAAUCAAAACUAGUACAACUUCUUAACCAUUCUUCGUGUUUAUGCAUUUCCCAACAAUCCAGAUUUGUGCACCUCUAGUACACACAAUGGCAAUUUACUUGCAAUUCAGGUCGCAGUUUAUACCUCUGGAAGGUCGUCCAACGAUCGUAUCACUUCGGCACAGUCACUUUGAGAAUCAUCAUCUUGCUGGCAGGGUGAGCCCUUUGGAUUGCAGGUUGGAGCAAUCGAUCCGCCUGGGAUACAUCAGUUACGAUCACUGAUGACAGUACAGAAAACAGUGAGAUACAAUUCACAAGCAAACUGACAUACAAAUGAUUGUUAAUGGUCUAGAAAUGUACAAACAAUCUCAAAAUUAUGAAUGUCUUUUGCAAAUCUGCUACGCGGACACUAUCCACAAUUCGCUACGUCCACCCCAAUCCGUUGUCCGCUAUUUAAAACCUUGCAUACAUCGAGUUCCGACCACCGACUACAGUACAGACAGAAAACAGUGGGAUGCGAUGCGAUUCACAAGUAUUCUCUAUGAGUGAAUCAGCUUGGAACUAUGCCGAGGCUAAUAUCAGUUUUUAACCCCCAUUAAACAGAUCUAAUAGGUUAUGGGGAUUAAAGUGGACGAGCAGAUGAGCAUACGCUGAGACAAAUUUACGAAUGGUAGGGAAAUGGAGGAGGGGGGAAGGGGCGUACGGUCUGGGGUUGCCCCCGUCAGCGGCGGGGGAUCCUGCAUGUAAGAGUGCCGGAAAUGGGAACGACGGUGAAGCUCUCCGAGCCUUUUCUUUAGGUCCUGUCGCCCGACGAGACCCUGCCAGCGCCAGUGCCUUGAGAAGGCCG